This 254-nucleotide ribosomal RNA is filed under the name uncultured bacterium. RNAcentral's name for it is "partial 16S ribosomal RNA". It matches the Rfam family "Bacterial small subunit ribosomal RNA", at positions 524 to 776 of the family's 1533-position model. The record is from RNAcentral.
GACGAACCGUGCGAACGUUAUUCGGAAUCACUGGGCUUAAAGCGCGUGUAGGCGGGAGGGCACGUCCGUCGCUGAAAUCCCCCGGCUCAACCGGGGAACGGGCACGGAUACGACCUUCCUGGAGGGGCGUAGGGGGACCUGGAACUUCCGGUGGAGCGGUGAAAUGCGUUGAGAUCGGAAGGAACGCCCGUGGCGAAAGCGAGGUCCUGGACGCCUACUGACGCUGAGACGCGAAAGCGUGGGGAGCAAACAGG